GUAGGUGGCAAGCGUUGUCCGGAAUUAUUGGGCGUAAAGCGCGCGCAGGUGGGUUCUUUAAGUCUGAUGUGAAAGCCCCCGGGCUCAACCGGGGAGGGUCAUUGGAAACUGGGGAACUUGAGUGCAGGAGAGGAAAGUGGAAUUCCACGUGUAGCGGUGAAAUGCGUAGAUAUGUGGAGGAACACCAGUGGCGAAGGCGACUUUCUGGCCUGUAACUGACACUGAGGCGCGAAAGCGUGGGGAGCAAACAGGAUUAGAUACCCUGGUAGUCCACGCCGUAAACGAUGAGUGCUAAGUGUUGGGGGGUUUCCGGCCCCUCAGUGCUGCAGCUAACGCAUUAAGCACUCCGCCUGGGGAGUACGGUCGCAAGACUG
RNAcentral lists this ribosomal RNA (374 nucleotides) under uncultured organism. Its description in RNAcentral is "partial 16S ribosomal RNA". It matches the Rfam family "Bacterial small subunit ribosomal RNA", at positions 527 to 896 of the family's 1533-position model. The record is from RNAcentral.